GGUGUUUGAUGCUGAAAUGUUUGUUUUUACUAUGCAGUUUUAGCAACAUUUUAAACAAUGUUUCUACAAGACUGCAAGCCUUCCGGACAGCGAACUGUCUUCUUAUUCUACAUAAAGCACUAUGGACAAGGAAUAUUUGAAAUAAAUGAAUGAAUAGAUAGAUAAUAAAUAAAAUAAAGCAAGCACUGGAACUGGA
Molecule: long non-coding RNA, 196 nt
Organism: Hemicordylus capensis (graceful crag lizard)
Lineage: Eukaryota; Metazoa; Chordata; Lepidosauria; Squamata; Cordylidae
Exons: 2
Source: RefSeq, a predicted model, not a curated record